Molecule: non-coding RNA, 25 nt
Filed under: Rattus norvegicus (Norway rat)
Lineage: Eukaryota; Metazoa; Chordata; Mammalia; Rodentia; Muridae
Source: RNAcentral
CAUUAGCAGGCUUGGAAGCCCUUGA